GUCUGGCUGAAUAGUCCCGAACAGGACGAAACGCGUGUCCUGAAU
This is a non-coding RNA of Schistosoma haematobium, 45 nucleotides long. NCBI's taxonomy places the organism in Eukaryota, Metazoa, Platyhelminthes, Trematoda, Strigeidida, Schistosomatidae. The record is from Rfam.